This 673-nucleotide ribosomal RNA is filed under the name uncultured Vibrionaceae bacterium. Its description in RNAcentral is "bacterial SSU rRNA". It matches the Rfam family "Bacterial small subunit ribosomal RNA", at positions 1 to 671 of the family's 1533-position model. Lineage: Bacteria; Pseudomonadati; Pseudomonadota; Gammaproteobacteria; Vibrionales; Vibrionaceae. The record is from RNAcentral.
UAGAGUUUGAUCAUGGCUCAGAUUGAACGCUGGCGGCAGGCUUAACACAUGCAAGUCGAGCGGUAACAGGAAUAGCUUGCUAUUUGCUGACGAGCGGCGGACGGGUGAGUAAUGCUUGGGAAUAUGCCUUAUGGUGGGGGACAACAGUUGGAAACGACUGCUAAUACCGCAUAAUGUCUACGGACCAAAGGGGGGGAUCUUCGGACCUCUCGCCAUUUGAUUAGCCCAAGUGAGAUUAGCUAGUUGGUAAGGUAAUGGCUUACCAAGGCGACGAUCUCUAGCUGGUUUGAGAGGAUGAUCAGCCACACUGGGACUGAGACACGGCCCAGACUCCUACGGGAGGCAGCAGUGGGGAAUACUGCACAAUGGGGGGAACCCUGAUGCAGCCAUGCCGCGUGUGUGAAGAAGGCCUUCGGGUUGUAAAGCACUUUCAGUUGUGAGGAAAGGUGUGUAGUUAAUAGCUGCAUACUGUGACGUUAACAACAGAAGAAGCACCGGCUAACUUCGUGCCAGCAGCCGCGGUAAUACGAGGGGUGCAAGCGUUAAUCGGAAUUACUGGGCGUAAAGCGUUCGUAGGCGGUUGAAUAAGCAAGAUGUGAAAGCCCAGGGCUCAACCUUGGAACUGCAUUUUGAACUGUUCGACUAGAGUACUGUAGAGGGGGGUAGAAUUUCA